GACGAACGCUGGCGGCGUGCUUAACACAUGCAAGUCGAACGGCAAGGCCCUGCUUUUGUGGGGUUCUCGAGUGGCGAACGGGUGAGUAACACGUGAGUAACCUGCCCUUGACUUUGGGAUAACUUCAGGAAACUGGGGCUAAUACCGGAUAGGAUCUCCUGCUGCAUGGUGGGGGUUGGAAAGUUUCGGCGGUUGGGGAUGGAUUCGCGGCUUAUCAGCUUGUUGGUGGGGUAGUGGCUUACCAAGGCUUUGACGGGUAGCCGGCCUGGGAGGGUGACCGGCCACAUUGGGACUGCGGUACGGCCCAGACUGCUACGGGGGGCAGCAGUGGGGAAUAUUGCACAAUGGGCGGAAGCCUGAUGCAGCAACGCCGCGUGCGGGAUGACGGCCUUCGGGUUGUAAACCGCUUUCGCCUGUGACGAAGCGUGAGUGACGGUAAUGGGUAAAGAAGCACCGGCUAACUACGUG
This 468-nucleotide ribosomal RNA is filed under the name uncultured bacterium. RNAcentral describes it as "partial 16S ribosomal RNA". It matches the Rfam family "Bacterial small subunit ribosomal RNA", at positions 28 to 507 of the family's 1533-position model. The record is from RNAcentral.